CCUACGGGAGGCUGCAGUGAGGAAUAUUGGUCAAUGGACGAGAGUCUGAACCAGCCAAGUAGUGUGAAGGAUGACUGCCCUAUGGGUUGUAAACUUCUUUUAUAAAGGAAUAAAACGAGGCACGUGUGCCUUUUUGCAUGUACUUUAUGAAUAAGGAUCGGCUAACUCCGUGCCAGCAGCCGCGGUAAUACGGAGGAUCCGAGCGUUAUCCGGAUUUAUUUGGUUUAAAGGGAGCGUAGAUGGGUUGUUAAGUCAGUUGUGAAAGUUUGCGGCUCAACCGUAAAAUUGCAAUUGAUACUGGCAGUCUUGAGUACAGUUGAGGUAGGCGGAAUUCGUGGUGUAGCGGUGAAAUGCUUAGAUAUCACGAAGAACCCCGAUUGCGAAGGCAGCUUACUAAACUGUGACUGACAUUGAUGCUCGAAAGUGUGGGUAUCAAACAGGAUUAGAUACCCUGGUAGUC
Molecule: ribosomal RNA, 460 nt
Filed under: uncultured bacterium
Lineage: Bacteria
Description: partial 16S ribosomal RNA
Rfam family: Bacterial small subunit ribosomal RNA
Source: RNAcentral